CCUACGGGCGGCUGCAGUGGGGAAUAUUGCACAAUGGGGGAAACCCUGAUGCAGCGACGCCGCGUGAGUGAAGACGGAUUUCGGUAUGUAAAGCUCUAUCAGCAGGAACGAGACAAGACGGUACCUGACUAAGAAGCCCCGGCUAACUACGUGCCAGCAGCCGCGGUAAUUCGUAGGGGGCAAGCGUUAUCCGGAAUCACUGGGUGUAAAGGGAGUGUAGACGGCUGAGCAAGCCUGGAGUGAAAGGCGGGGGCACAACCCCCGCACUGCUGGGGGAACUGGACGGCUGGAGUGCAGGGGAGGUAAGUGGAAUUCGUGGUGUAGCGGUGAAAUGCUUAGAUAUUAGGAGGAACACCAGUGGCGAAGGCGGCUUACUGGACUGUAACUGACGUUGAGGCUCGAAAGCGUGGGGAGCAAACAGGAUUAGAUACCCUUGUAGUC
Molecule: ribosomal RNA, 441 nt
Filed under: uncultured bacterium
Lineage: Bacteria
Description: partial 16S ribosomal RNA
Rfam family: Bacterial small subunit ribosomal RNA
Source: RNAcentral